Sodalis glossinidius str. 'morsitans' is the source of this 72-nucleotide transfer RNA. It matches the Rfam family "tRNA". Rfam says of the family: Transfer RNA (tRNA) molecules are approximately 80 nucleotides in length. Their secondary structure includes four short double-helical elements and three loops (D, anti-codon, and T loops). Further hydrogen bonds mediate the characteristic L-shaped molecular structure. tRNAs have two regions of fundamental functional importance: the anti-codon, which is responsible for specific mRNA codon recognition, and the 3' end, to which the tRNAs corresponding amino acid is attached (by aminoacyl-tRNA synthetases). tRNAs cope with the degeneracy of the genetic code in two manners: having more than one tRNA (with a specific anti-codon) for a particular amino acid; and 'wobble' base-pairing, i.e. permitting non-standard base-pairing at the 3rd anti-codon position. The record is from Rfam. Lineage: Bacteria; Pseudomonadati; Pseudomonadota; Gammaproteobacteria; Enterobacterales; Bruguierivoracaceae.
GCGGGAAUAGCUCAGUGGUAGAGCACAACCUUGCCAAGGUUGGGGUCGCGAGUUCGAGCCUCGUUUCCCGCU